AACGAACGCUGGCGGCGUGCCUAAUACAUGCAAGUAGGACGCAGUUGCGAACGGGUGAGUAACGCGUAGGUAACUACCUAUUAGAGGGGGCUAACUAUUGGCAACGAUAGCUAAUACCGCAUACUAGUAGAUGGACCUGCGUUGUAUUAGCUAGUAGGUAGGGUAAUGGCCUACCUAGGCAACGAUACAUAGCCGACCGUGGAGGGGGGUUGGCCAAACCUGGAAUGGGAAAAGGGCCAGAACCCUACCGGAGGCAGCCGUAGGGAAUCUUCGGCAAUGGGGGGAAACCUGACCGAGCAACGCCGCGGGAGUGAAGAAGGUUUUUGGAUCGGAAAGCUCUGUUGUUAAGGAAGCGGUACUUAACCAGAAAGGGACGGCUAACUACGUGCCAGCAGCCGCGGUAAUAC
This 407-nucleotide ribosomal RNA is filed under the name uncultured bacterium. RNAcentral's name for it is "partial 16S ribosomal RNA". It matches the Rfam family "Bacterial small subunit ribosomal RNA", at positions 29 to 526 of the family's 1533-position model. The record is from RNAcentral.